This is a long non-coding RNA of Physella acuta, 916 nucleotides long. RefSeq lists it as uncharacterized. Lineage: Eukaryota; Metazoa; Mollusca; Gastropoda; Physidae. The record is from RefSeq and is a predicted model, not a curated record.
CUUAUCUUGACCAGAUUCAAACUAGAGAUCUAGAUUACCAUGGAAGGCCAAGUGGAUUGGCAGCUGAUGACUUGCUGUUUUAAGAUUGAUGCUCAUGAUCUGGAGGACAGUUCCAGCAUUGCCUGCUGUUGCCUUCUGCUAGAUUCGCCAUCACCAGAUAACAUGUUAGCUAUUAAUGUUGGGUGGAGUCUGUCUACUUGGGAUGCUGCUGCUGACUACCCAUGAUGUCUGCGUAGAUGACCAUUUACAAGCUAUGCCUGUUACUAAGAGCAUUUACAGCUGGGUCCUAUCUGCCUUCAAUGAAUAUUUUGCUGACAACAUGGCUUUAGGUUUAUCAAAUGCGUGACAAGCCAGUUGCUGUCAAUAUUUUUUCCAAACUUUGCAUGGAUUACACCUCAAGUGGUUGGUGCUAUUGGAUUUCUAAUAGGAACAUUCAGUGUUGUGUGGAUCUGAGAUUAACCGCUGUUUGUUGAGGGCUCAUUUUCCAGCAAUUGAGAAAGAAAUAUGUAAGGUUAACUAUACCCAUUCGGAAAGCUUAUCCUGAUAAGUGCUUAAAAAUUAUAAGUAACUGGAAUGGUUGUGGUUUUGGUAGAUUUAAAUUUUCCAAUGCAGCUUAUAUCUGUUACAAUAUAUGACAGCCGUUUUUUGUUAAAAUGUGUCCUUAGCUUAAACAUAAUGAUUGUCCCAAGGAGCAUUAAAGCAAUAAUGUACUUUAUACUUAACACACACACACACACACACUCAUUUUUUACUCUUUGCUGCCAAAUCUCAAUAUCUAAUUUAGAGCAUAACAUCUUAUUUUUAUGAAUUAUAAGCAUUAUAAUCCUAACUCUUAUAACAAUUGUUGUGCAUGCCCUCUGUCUGCUGUUACUCCUUCAGUCAGUUACUGGGUUUUCAUAAGGCCAUAGAAAUUGUG